CCACCGCACAACAGUAGUAACGACAAAUCCACACCGAAAAGUCGAAUACUAAAUACAAACAUCAACAAACUCCUAUUGAGUUUCUGAGAAUUAUUAGACUAAAAUAAACACAUAAACAAAGACACCACACCACAUCUUCUCCAGCACAUCAAAGAGACUCGUAGCAGCAACAUGACAAAACCUCUUAUUUUGCACAGGCAAAAGCUGAUCCCACACAAACCGGCAAUAAUCACUUCUCCAACUCCAAACACUGAAUUGGAGCAAAAUCCCUGUGAGUGGACCAAAAGCUGCAACAAAAUCAUGGCGUCUACAGUGGAUUGCAGUAAUUGCUUCAAAAACACAACGAAAACCAAAGAAAAAAACUGGGUCAACAACACCAUACUGUGGCCAUAGGCAAUGGCGAAGCCAAGAUUUCAUGUGUGUGGGGGCCUCUUACAUAUUAUAAAUAAUCAAAACUACGAACUCACAAUACAUACGAA
This 479-nucleotide long non-coding RNA is filed under the name Prunus dulcis (almond). Its description in RNAcentral is "sRNA ncRNA". The record is from RNAcentral. Lineage: Eukaryota; Viridiplantae; Streptophyta; Magnoliopsida; Rosales; Rosaceae.